AGAUGUUAACAAUACGCCACACUCAUGAUCCUGGAAGCUGUUCAAAAUCAAACCAUGGUGACUUGAUAUUAGUAAAAGAUCGGGAGAACAGAGAUACCAUAUUGGUUUGUACAGAAGAUGAUAAAGUUUAUAGCUGGAAAACAACAGACAGUAAGUCGUUCAAUUUCAAUCCUGGACAAAACAUUUCCGAUAUAUUCUUUCAAUCUUUUACCAGAUUUGGAAAUAUUAAUUAAAUACAAUAUUUCAAAUUUUCUUGAUGUAACACAAUUUAAUGGAGGAUAAUCACUGAUCACCAUUUUUGUCGGUGUUUGGCAAUUUUUUUGCUUGGGAACUUUUUUUCGUGUAUUUUUUAACAUCUGUGCUACUAUGAAUUACAGAAAAUCCAUUCCCCGGGAGUGCUACGAAAUUGCAUUUCUAUGCACUUUUUCUCGCAACAACCCGUGACAUAUAGGAUUUCGCUGUAAGAUAUUAUAAACUUGCAGCAUCUUGGUGGUAAUUCCUUCUUAAAAGUUAUUCCAUUUUAAUACUCACUUUGUAAAAUCCCCUAUCUUUCAUCUAUAAAUACUUGGGUUUUUUUGUUUGAAACACAAAUAUAUAGUAGUUGAAAACUUAAAAUAUUAUGGACAAUAGAGACUCGUUUCAAAAAGUCAAUAUCUGAGGGAAAAUAUUUCCAGAAUUUUCUUUUGAAACUGAUAAGCAGACAACAAUUUUAUAUUAUUAUCAAUUGAGUUCAAUAUCUUAGCUCCUUGAAAUCUAAUAUCAAAUAGUCCGUAAUUUGUCCUUACUUUGUCAAGAAAGUAAGAUACAGUAUCUUAGAGGAUAGUCGUGUGUCAUAGUCAGUGAAUCUGAUUGAUAGACCGAAGAAAUCAGAAAAAUAUAACGGUAUAGCUCAUUAGCAUAUGAUCGUUAAUGAGCAUCAAACGUGCAUCAAGGUGCAGCUAGCAGUUCAAAUAUUACGAACACGCGAAGCUAAACGUCUGUACUAUCCGGGAGGUACGCCGUACGCGCAACCAUAUUUCUAAAGCCAGUUUUCCACUUUAGUCUUGUCGCACCGUAGCGUAUUUCUUUUUUUCCUGAGCGGUACGUAGUGUGGAACUAAUGCAUGGCUUCGACACAAAAGAAAAUGCUACGAUACGCUACAAUACAGUUGAAGUAGAAAACAGGCUAAAGCUAAUUAGGUUAGAUUAAUUAAAUUGGUGUAUUGAAUCCCUUCAAGAUUCCAAACCACCAGGAGAAUAUUUUUACCCUGGUUACGAUUGUCUCGAUAUUCUGAACAAGAACACGAAAGCUAAAGUGGAUAUUACUGGGUUAACUUCAAUCGCGGAAAGCCGAAAAAGGUA
Molecule: non-coding RNA, 1340 nt
Organism: Paramuricea clavata
Lineage: Eukaryota; Metazoa; Cnidaria; Anthozoa; Malacalcyonacea; Plexauridae
Source: the annotation of a GenBank genome assembly